This 204-nucleotide ribosomal RNA is filed under the name uncultured Acidithiobacillus sp. RNAcentral describes it as "partial 16S ribosomal RNA". It matches the Rfam family "Bacterial small subunit ribosomal RNA", at positions 570 to 774 of the family's 1533-position model. The record is from RNAcentral. Lineage: Bacteria; Pseudomonadati; Pseudomonadota; Acidithiobacillia; Acidithiobacillales; Acidithiobacillaceae.
CGUAGGCGGUGGGUUACGUCUGCCGUGAAAUCCCCGGGCUCAACCUGGGAAUGGCGGUGGAAACGGGCUGACUAGAGUAUGGGAGAGGGUGAUGGAAUUCCAGGUGUAGCGGUGAAUGCGUAGAGAUCUGGAGGAACAUCAGUGGCGAAGGCGGUCACCUGGCCCAAUACUGACGCUGAGGCGCGAAAGCGUGGGGAGCAAACA